AAAAGGUUUGCCAAUUGAGUUUUGGUGUUGACAUGCUCAGGCAAUAUUAGACCAUCUUUAAUGGUGCCUCGAACAAAAUGGUAGUCUAUCUUUAUAUGCUUCGUUAUUUCAUGAUAGAUAGGACUGGAUGCAAUUUGGAUAGCUGUCUUGCUAUCACAAAAUAAUUUUACAGGCUUAGUGACAGAUACAUUCAGCUCUUCUAACAGUCCAGUUAGCCAAAUCACCUCUGAAACUGCAGCUGCUAUACUUCUAUAUUCUGUCUCUGCUGAGCUUCUACUCACAGUGUGUUGCUCUUUUGAUUUUCAUGAUAUAAGAGAAUCCCCCAUCUUCACAAUGUAUCCCGACUGUCUCGUAUUUGGGCAGGCUGCCCAAUCACUAUCACAGUACACAGUCAACUAUGUGUAUGAACUAUUUUUCAGCAGAACACCCUGACCAGAUGACCCUUUCAAGUACCUUACCAAUCUAAGUGUUGCUUCCCAAUAUGAGACUUUAGGUUGCUGCAUGAAUUGGCUAAGCACUUUUACAACAAAGCUAAUAUAUGGUCUGGUCAUAGUGAAAUAGAUUAGUCUCCCAAUAAGCUUCUGAUAUGAGGUAAUGUCUGUAAGAAUAGGAUAUGUGAUUCCUCCUACAUGUGCAUCAUAGUCUACUGUGGUAAACUUAGCAUUUGCUUUCAAAGGUGUGUUCACUGGCUUGGCUCCACUUAAGCCAACAUCAGAGAUUAGCUCAAGGAUAUACUUUCUCUGAUUAAGUAGUAUCCCCUUCUGAGAUUCCAGAACUUCAAUCCCCAAAAAUAUUUGAGCUCACCUAGAUCUUUUACCUUGAAAUACUUAUGUAGUGUUUGUUUUGCUUGAUCAAUUAAUCUUCCACUAUUUCCAGUAAUAAGGAGAUCAUCCGCAUUCACUAGAAUGAUAACUAUCUCAUUUCUUUCUUUUCUAGUAAAUAAAGAAUGAUCAUAGGUACUAAAUGUAGUUAGCUGCUUUAAGAGCAUCAGUCAGCUAUAUGUUUCAUUGCAUGGAUGCCUAUUUCAAACCAUAUAACGAUUUGAGAAGUUUGCACACCUUAUACUCCCCUGGCUUUGGAACCCUUGAGGCAAAACCAUGUAGACUUCUUCCAAUAAAUCUCCUUGUAGAAAAGCAUUAUUGAUAUCCAUUUGGUAUAUAGGCCAAUUGUGUGAAGCUCCAACACCAAUCACUGUCCUGACAGUUACCAUCUUGGCAACUGGGGGAAAAGUUUCAUAGUAGUCCAAUUCCUCUUGCUGAGUGUAGCCUUUAGCUACAAGUCUUCCCUUGUACUUGUCUACUUCUCCAUUUGGCUUGUACUUGAUCUUAUAUACCCAUUUUGAUCCAACUGCUUGCUUCCCUUUAGGUAGGUAUACUAGCUCCCAAGUCUGAUUUUGUUCUAAUGCAUUAAUUUCUUAUUGCAGAGCUUCAAUCCACUUCUAAUCUAUGGAUGCCUCAUUGAAGGUUUUUGGUUCUGUAUGAGCUGAGAAUAGGCUGAGAUAUUCUUGAUAGGCUCCAGACAAGUGAUCAUACCCCACAUAAUUAGCAAUGGAAUAUGAACACAUGGUAGGCUUUACUGCAGUGGUGACAUGAUCUUUGAGCCAAAUAGGUGGCUUGAUUACUCUCUUUCCUUUGCCACAAUCAGGCAUUUGUUCUCCAACACUUUGUUCACCAACACUGACUUCUUCAGCUGGUUCUGAAGCCUGCAUAGGUUCUAUAGGAUCUGCUGAUGUAUUGGAUUGUGAAUAGGUGGCAUGACCUUCUGUGUCUGCAAUAUGUACUGUCUGCAUCUCAUGAUCAACAUUGGAAACUGGUUCUGCUGCUUCUUCAAAUCCUACAGAGUUGUCUACUUGUUGAACUGCAAGAGGUUGAUCCUCAUACACAUUAUAAUCUUGUGUAUGUUUAACAUUGUUUGUCAUGUCUGUAAGAGGCAUAAACAACACCUCCGCUUACUUCUCAACUGGCAUUAAUCUAAAGGGGGAAAUCUCUUCUCUGAAGCUAACAUCCUUGCUAACAAAGAAAAUUUUUGAGUCUAGAUCAAACAGUCUAUAUCCUUUCUAAGUCUCAGAGUAUCCCAUCAGUACUGCCUUUCUAGAUCUUGGAGCUAGCUUUUCACCCCUAGGUAAAGUGCUUGCAUAACACAAAUAUCUAAAUACCCUAAUAUGGUCCAGUUUGGGCUCCUUGCCAUGAAGCAAUUUGUAGGGUAAAUUUCCAUCCAACAUUGUAGUAAGUAACUUAUUGAUCAAGUAGACUGCAGUCUUCACACAUUCUCCCUAGAAUUUGAUAGGGAUGGAACUGUAAAUCUUCAGGGCUCUUGCAACUUCCAAUGUAUACCGAUGCUUUCUUUCUACUAUACCAUUUUGUUGGUAUGUAAGCACAACUGCUUUGGUGAAUUAUACCAAGAGAAGAGAAUAAUUCAUUACAUUGAGAGUUGAAAAUUUCUGUUCCAUUAUCUUAUCUUAAUGUUUUCACAGUGACAUCAAACUGAUAUCCUAUCAUUGCUAAAAAAUUAUUGAGUACAAUUAAGACCUCACAUUUUGACUGAAUCAGACAAAUCCAAGUGUAUCUACUGUAGUCAUCAACGAUGGUUACAAAAUACUGCUUUCUACCAAAUGUAAGAUUUCUUUAGGGCCCC
This 2634-nucleotide long non-coding RNA is filed under the name Nicotiana tabacum (common tobacco). Its description in RNAcentral is "long non-coding RNA (NTAB_LNC011789)". Lineage: Eukaryota; Viridiplantae; Streptophyta; Magnoliopsida; Solanales; Solanaceae. The record is from RNAcentral.